UGGGGAAUUUUGGACAAUGGGCGAAAGCCUGAUCCAGCAAUGCCGCGUGCAGGAUGAAGGCCUUCGGGUUGUAAACUGCUUUUGUACGGAACGAAAAAGCUUCUCCUAAUACGAGAGGCCCAUGACGGUACCGUAAGAAUAAGCACCGGCUAACUACGUGCCAGCAGCCGCGGUAAUACGUAGGGUGCGAGCGUUAAUCGGAAUUACUGGGCGUAAAGCGUGCGCAGGCGGUUAUGCAAGACAGAGGUGAAAUCCCCGGGCUCAACCUGGGAACUGCAUUUGUGACUGUAUAGCUAGAGUACGGCAGAGGGGGAUGGAAUUCCGCGUGUAGCAGUGAAAUGCGUAGAUGUGCGGAGGAACACCGAUGGCGAAGGCAAUCCCCUGGGCCUGUACUGACGCUCAUGCACGAAAGCGUGGGGAGCAAACA
This 427-nucleotide ribosomal RNA is filed under the name uncultured bacterium. RNAcentral describes it as "bacterial SSU rRNA". It matches the Rfam family "Bacterial small subunit ribosomal RNA", at positions 355 to 774 of the family's 1533-position model. The record is from RNAcentral.